Potamilus streckersoni is the source of this 73-nucleotide non-coding RNA. Lineage: Eukaryota; Metazoa; Mollusca; Bivalvia; Unionida; Unionidae. The record is from the annotation of a GenBank genome assembly.
GCUCCAGUGGUCUAGUGGUUAGAGCGUCCGCCUCGGAUGCAGAAGGUCGUGGUUUCGAAACCCAGCCGAGUCA